UAUUCCUCCUCCAUCCCAUUCUCCUGCCCCAGAAAUCAGUGGAGAAGUGAAAGAAACUCUACCAUGCAUUCAAAAACCGUUUGGCAGAGAUCAGAAGAGAUGGGGAAGUAGCAGUGGUGACUAGAUGCAGAUUUCUAGAAAUGCAGUUCAAUGCAGCAGACGGAAUAUGGAAGAGUCAUUCAAAUGGCACUGGUUGGAAAAAGUGAGACUUGCAAAAGCAUCAGGUUGUUGACUACUAAGGAGCAAGAGAUUUCACCUAACCAGAGUUAUCUUCUUCUGUACUUCUGUGAUGCAGAAUUAUGGGGUUUCUCUGAAUUUUGGACCCUACAACAGUCUUGCAGCUUGUAGCCAGCUCCCUCUGUCUUGCUGGAGGCACAGAUCAGCAAGAUUGGAGGGGAAGGAGGAUGAAGGAUUACUGACACACCUCACCUGGGAUGGGAUGGUGGCCACAGGCUCUGGUGUCCAAGGAGCUCCCUGUGCUAUACCCUGCUUGUCAAGCCUCCCUCAGCAUCUGUAACGGCUCCCAUCAAAAGUUUGAAACUAUGCAAGUCCACUUGUGUUCAAGAGCUGCUAUACUGCUGGAAAUUAAAAUAGGUUGGGGUCAAAUGUUUGUACAGAUAUUACAAAUAUUUAAUUGAACUGCUUCUGUCAAGUGCCUGCUCAGGUAGACUGCAGCUCAGGAAUUUUGGUGACUUUAGUCACUGCAGUGACUGGUGAGGCUAGGGUAAGGCUAAUAAAAUGCAUGCAAAGACAAAACUGACCACUAAAGCAAAUUACUUCUGGGAAAUAAA
Long non-coding RNA from Cygnus olor (mute swan), 791 nucleotides. RefSeq lists it as uncharacterized. NCBI's taxonomy places the organism in Eukaryota, Metazoa, Chordata, Aves, Anseriformes, Anatidae. The transcript has 5 exons. The record is from RefSeq and is a predicted model, not a curated record.